RNAcentral lists this unclassified non-coding RNA (650 nucleotides) under Hevea brasiliensis (rubber tree). Lineage: Eukaryota; Viridiplantae; Streptophyta; Magnoliopsida; Malpighiales; Euphorbiaceae. The record is from RNAcentral.
UUUUUUUUUUUUUUUUUUUUUGGAAUUAACGACACCUAAUUAAAACUGAAAUUAAUUCAACCACAAGAAUUUACAUAAAAAAAAAAAAAAAGCUCAGCCUCCAAAGAUGCACGCCUCCAUAGAAUCAAGAGAAAACAAAACCAAACGAAGAAACUGGAGUAAAAAAUUCAUCAUUAUCAAGCGGGAGCUCGAAUUAAAGGGGUAUGUAAAGAAGAAGCAAAGGGAAGGCUGCGCAGAAUGAGAAAACGAACUCGCCUUGGGAAAGGGGCUUCAUUAAACAUGUGCUCCAGCACCCUCGCCAGCAGCGCCGUGUACUCCUCCAGCAGCUCCGCUACGAUCGCCACCAGUAUCAUCUUCUUUCUUGUAUAGAUGAGCCCUUUCGGAUAAGAAAAUAAGAUUCGGAAUAUAUAUAUAAAUAUUUUUGGAUCAAGGAAGAUUUGGCAUAUUGGUGUGUGGUUUUUAUAUCUUGUUAUAUGUUUUGUUUGGGGUUUUUGCUGCGGCGAUUACCACGGCGCCAUCAAUAGCUUUUCCAGUGUGCCGGUCCUUGUCUACCUCGCUUCCGCUUCCACGCGGCCGCCCCCAUCACACGACUUUAGUUUUAGAUUUUUCUGGACCCUCAUCCUUAUCCUCCCCAUCCAUUUAUGAUAACC